RNAcentral lists this ribosomal RNA (466 nucleotides) under uncultured bacterium. Its description in RNAcentral is "partial 16S ribosomal RNA". It matches the Rfam family "Bacterial small subunit ribosomal RNA", at positions 28 to 507 of the family's 1533-position model. The record is from RNAcentral.
GAUGAACGCUGGCGGCGUGCUUAACACAUGCAAGUCGAACGGAAAGGCUCCUGCUUGCAGGGGUACUCGAGUGGCGAACGGGUGAGUAACACGUGGGUGAUCUGCCCUGCACUUCGGGAUAAGCCUGGGAAACUGGGUCUAAUACCGGAUAGGACGAUUGUUUGGAUGCCAUUGUGGAAAGUUUUUUCGGUGUGGGAUGAGCUCGCGGCCUAUCAGCUUGUUGGUGGGGUAAUGGCCUACCAAGGCGUCGACGGGUAGCCGGCCUGAGAGGGUGUACGGCCACAUUGGGCCUGAGAUACGGCCCAGACUCCUACGGGCGGCAGCAGUGGGGAAUAUUGCACAAUGGGCGCAAGCCUGAUGCAGCGACGCCGCGUGGGGGAUGCCGGCCUUCGGGUUGUAAACUCCUUUCGCUAGGGACGAAGCGCAAGUGACGGUACCUGGAGAAGAAGCACCGGCUAACUACGUG